This is a long non-coding RNA of Boleophthalmus pectinirostris (great blue-spotted mudskipper), 728 nucleotides long. RefSeq lists it as uncharacterized. The transcript has 3 exons. The record is from RefSeq and is a predicted model, not a curated record. NCBI's taxonomy places the organism in Eukaryota, Metazoa, Chordata, Actinopteri, Gobiiformes, Gobiidae.
AGCGUCACAGCCACAGUCUUCACAAAGCAAGUCAGCUGAAUCUGAGGACAUAAAGAAAAGUGAUGGUGAAGAAUCAAAAACAGCCGGUCUGGAAAAGAAACCACAGAGAGACGUAGAACAAGAUAGUGGGAUCUCAAAUGAUAAAGGAACAAAAGAAGCAUCACAACCUCAAAAUGAACCACCAGAAACUCAGAGUUCUGAAAACAGUCCAGCUGCAGAAUCAGGCAAGGACCAAACGCUAUCCUCUGAGUCCAGUGAUGUAGAGAACUCACUCAGCAAGUCAUCUGAAGACAAAGCACAGAAAACGGCCACAGCAAAGUCUGAAAGAAAACAAGUGGCUGAAAGUGUGUGGCUGAGAUGAUGAUGAUAAGGAAAACAAAAACAUGGGUGAUAGCGCAAAGGAUGUCAAAAAAGGAGAUGAAGAAAGAGACUCUGAGCAAAGCAAUGGAGCAACUAAAGAAGAGCAGAGGGGAACCAUGGUGUACGAUGGAAACAGUAAAGUAUGACCGGGUUGAAGCUGUGAACUUUAGAGGUCAAAUACAAUACAAUAGAGACAUGGUUGUUAAUUUGCUGUAAUUAUUUUGGUGCUUUGAUAAUAGAAAGACGGCAUGACAAGAUAAAUUAAAAUACUCUUUUUUUUUAGUACAUAAUUUGAUCCUCAGAAGUUUUGCCAGUACUAAUAUCUAAGUUUAGUUUGCCCAAAUUGUUGGUUGUAAUUGUAGGCUGAA